UGCUACUGGUGGGGGAAAGGCCACACUUUCUCCGUCUCCUUUUCAUGAGAGGAUGGCAUGUUUAAUUGGGGAACCCCUGUUAAGUGGCGUGGUGACUGAAAAGGAGGGCGAUACAGACUUGGCUGAUGAACCCAUCACUGGUGAACCAGAGAGGACUGUGGGAGUGGACAGCAGUCAUUCAGCUGAAGACUGCCAACCCGGCCCCAACGGUGUCUCCGGUGCCCCGGUUGCCUCCAGCGGUGUCUCCGGUGCCCCGGAUGCCUCCAGCGGUGCACCACGUGCUUUAAGCGGAGGUCGUGUUCUGACUGAGGCUGUUUUACAAACACAAAUAAACACAAUUACAGCAAUUGACAAUUUAACAAAUGAGCUUAAAGAGAUUAAGGGGAUACUGUCUGAAAUGUCAAGUACAUUAAAAGAACUUGUUAAAAAAUA
Long non-coding RNA from Pygocentrus nattereri (red-bellied piranha), 432 nucleotides. RefSeq lists it as uncharacterized. The record is from RefSeq and is a predicted model, not a curated record. Lineage: Eukaryota; Metazoa; Chordata; Actinopteri; Characiformes; Serrasalmidae. The transcript is spliced from 2 exons.